Molecule: small nuclear RNA, 183 nt
Organism: Echinops telfairi (small Madagascar hedgehog)
Lineage: Eukaryota; Metazoa; Chordata; Mammalia; Afrosoricida; Tenrecidae
Product: U2 spliceosomal RNA
Exons: 1
Source: RefSeq, a predicted model, not a curated record
AUCGCUUCUUGGCCUUUUGGCUAAGAUCAAUUGUAGUAUCUGUUCUUAUCAGUUUAAUAUAUGAGGUCUAUUUCAGUGCAAUAGUUUCAGAGGUUCAUCCACUUUCUUGGACUCCAGAACUUCUAAAGCCAUGAAAACUUGAAAUUCUGUUCUGAAUUUCCAUCCUUUGUGUCAGAAGUUUUC